GCCCAGGUAGGUUUCUUCACCUUCUUCCGCCAAAAGCGAAACCAAUGGUUCGCUUCCCCUUCCAUACAGAUGCACACCAGCUUCAUCUGCUCUUUUUCAGUCACGCUCUGUAUUUCGAAGAAUUUCUUCUUGCGAUCCAUCCCGUCGGAUCGGUUCCUUCGAAAGUGGGCAAUUCUACUCUCUUCAUCCAACUCUUUUGAACGUCAUCACGUUCUUCCUCCGAUUCAUCCUCCUCAGUCUCCC
This 243-nucleotide long non-coding RNA is filed under the name Vigna radiata. Its description in RNAcentral is "long non-coding RNA (VRAD_LNC017292)". Lineage: Eukaryota; Viridiplantae; Streptophyta; Magnoliopsida; Fabales; Fabaceae. The record is from RNAcentral.